This 492-nucleotide ribosomal RNA is filed under the name uncultured bacterium. RNAcentral's name for it is "partial 16S ribosomal RNA". It matches the Rfam family "Bacterial small subunit ribosomal RNA", at positions 29 to 507 of the family's 1533-position model. The record is from RNAcentral.
AGUGAACGCUGGCGGUAGGCCUAACACAUGCAAGUCGAACGGCAGCACAGUAAGAGCUUGCUCUUACGGGUGGCGAGUGGCGGACGGGUGAGGAAUACAUCGGAAUCUACUUUUUCGUGGGGGAUAACGUAGGGAAACUUACGCUAAUACCGCAUACGACCUACGGGUGAAAGCAGGGGAUCUUCGGACCUUGCGCGAUUGAAUGAGCCGAUGUCGGAUUAGCUAGUUGGCGGGGUAAAUGCCCACCAAGGCGACGAUCCGUAGCUGGUCUGAGAGGAUGAUCAGCCACACUGGAACUGGGACACGGUCCAGACUCCUACGGGAGGCAGCAGUGGGGAAUGUUGGACAAUGGGCGCAAGCCUGAUCCAGCCAUACCGCGUGGGUGAAGAAGACCUUCGGGUUGUAAAGCCCUUUUGUUGGGAAAGAAAAGCAGCAGGUUAAUACCCCGCUGUUCUGACGGUACCCGAAGAAUAAGCACCGGCUAACUUCGUG